UUGAAGGAGGCUUUGACGAUGACGAUGACUCGGAGCGAUUAGAAUUAGAAAAACGGUUUAGGAUUGGAUUUUGUUGGGUGGUAUGGAGUUUGGUUGAAAAAUUUCAGUGUGGUGGGUGGUGAGAGCUUGUGAGGUGUGAAAGAGUGAGAUGGCGGGGAGAGGAUCCAGAUGGGCGGGCUGAGGAUCCAGAAGGUGGCGAUGAGAAUCAUGGGGACAAACGACAAAUCGUUCAGCUGUCGAACGCCGAGUCGGUGGCGGAGGAUGAGGAAGAGCUAAUGUGAGAGGCGAUCCGACGACUGCUGUCACAGAAGAAAUCGAGCACCGCCAUUCUCAAGUCCAAAAAUUCGGAGACCAUCGACAUCCGGAAGCUUGAUUUGUUCUUGAUUGGAUCGCCACUAAGUGCCGAAAGGCAGUGCAUAGAUAUUUUUCAGGAAAGUGAAGUUCUGGAAAGAAGAUGGCCAAGAGGAAGCACCACCUGUCUUUGUAGUGGGUGGUGGUAAUAGCGGUGGUUCGGAUCGAGAGUGGGAGUGAGAGAAGCUCUUGAUGCGAAUAGAAGAGGUAAGAGAGAAGAUGAAGAUGGAUGGGUCAGAAAAGAAAACGAUGAUGAAGAAGAUGAUUUGUCUAUCAAAAUUUGAUGAAUGAACUGUGAUUUUUUUUUGCUGUUUUUGUUGCUGAAAGGAUGAACAAGAGGAAGAAUAUGAAGAAUUGUGCAGCGGAAGAAGAAGAAUAUUUAAGGGGGCAGUUUGGACAUUUCAUCCAAAUUGAGGGUCAAAAUCUAAAAAGUGGGCCCUUUUGUCGGUGCCAAGUCAGCAUCUGACGUUACGUUUCGAGCCAAAUUUGAAUUUUGGACACGUGUGAUGGAAAAUGGAAG
This is a long non-coding RNA of Rosa rugosa (rugosa rose), 871 nucleotides long. RefSeq lists it as uncharacterized. The record is from RefSeq and is a predicted model, not a curated record. The transcript is spliced from 3 exons. Lineage: Eukaryota; Viridiplantae; Streptophyta; Magnoliopsida; Rosales; Rosaceae.